UUCAGCGGCGGACGGGUGAGUAAUGCCUAGGAAUCUGCCUGGUAGUGGGGGACAACGUUUCGAAAGGAACGCUAAUACCGCAUACGUCCUACGGGAGAAAGCAGGGGACCUUCGGGCCUUGCGCUAUCAGAUGAGCCUAGGUCGGAUUAGCUAGUUGGUGAGGUAAUGGCUCACCAAGGCGACGAUCCGUAACUGGUCUGAGAGGAUGAUCAGUCACACUGGAACUGAGACACGGUCCAGACUCCUACGGGAGGCAGCAGUGGGGAAUAUUGGACAAUGGGCGAAAGCCUGAUCCAGCCAUGCCGCGUGUGUGAAGAAGGUCUUCGGAUUGUAAAGCACUUUAAGUUGGGAGGAAGGGCAGUAACUUAAUACGUUGCUGUUUUGACGUUACCGACAGAAUAAGCACCGGCUAACUCUGUGCCAGCAGCCGCGGUAAUACAGAGGGUGCAAGCGUUAAUCGGAAUUACUGGGCGUAAAGCGCGCGUAGGUGGUUCGUUAAGUUGGAUGUGAAAUCCCCGGGCUCAACCUGGGAACUGCAUUCAAAACUGUCGAGCUAGAGUAUGGUAGAGGGUGGUGGAAUUUCCUGUGUAGCGGUGAAAUGCGUAGAUAUAGGAAGGAACACCAGUGGCGAAGGCGACCACCUGGACUGAUACUGACACU
This 660-nucleotide ribosomal RNA is filed under the name Pseudomonas sp. AR-328. RNAcentral describes it as "bacterial SSU rRNA". It matches the Rfam family "Bacterial small subunit ribosomal RNA", at positions 91 to 747 of the family's 1533-position model. The record is from RNAcentral. Lineage: Bacteria; Pseudomonadati; Pseudomonadota; Gammaproteobacteria; Pseudomonadales; Pseudomonadaceae.